RNAcentral lists this ribosomal RNA (463 nucleotides) under uncultured bacterium. Its description in RNAcentral is "bacterial SSU rRNA". It matches the Rfam family "Bacterial small subunit ribosomal RNA", at positions 791 to 1255 of the family's 1533-position model. The record is from RNAcentral.
UAGUCCACGCCGUAAACGAUGGAUACUAGCUGUCGGGACUUCGGUCUCGGCGGCCAAGCGAAAGUGAUAAGUAUCCCACCUGGGGAGUACGUUCGCAAGAAUGAAACUCAAAGGAAUUGACGGGGGCCCGCACAAGCGGUGGAGCAUGUGGUUUAAUUCGAUGAUACGCGAGGAACCUUACCAGGGCUUAAAUGCAGUCUGCAUAAGCUAGAGAUAGCUUUUUCUUCGGACUGGCUGCAAGGUGCUGCAUGGUUGUCGUCAGCUCGUGCCGUGAGGUGUCAGGUUAAGUCCUAUAACGAGCGCAACCCCUGCCGUUAGUUGCCAGCAAGUAAUGUUGGGGACUCUAAAGAGACUGCCGGCGUAAGCCGCGAGGAAGGUGGGGAUGGACGUCAAAUCAUCAUGGCCUUUAUGCCUAGGGGCUACACACGUGCUACAAUGGCAGGGUACAGAGGGGUUGCGAACU